Molecule: long non-coding RNA, 320 nt
Filed under: Phascolarctos cinereus (koala)
Lineage: Eukaryota; Metazoa; Chordata; Mammalia; Diprotodontia; Phascolarctidae
Description: lncRNA (ENSPCIG00000037071.1)
Source: RNAcentral
AGGGUCUAUGUAGUCCUGGAUGGGCCUAUUUCAAGUUUACAUUCCCCUCAACCUCAGUGAGAGGAGAAGGACAUGGUGAUUUUUCUGCUUCCCGAAUGACUAUCACCCUUCACCUUGUGGUAAGUUAAAGGGCAGAGUGUGUAGGUGAUGACUGAAUCCACUCCCCGUACCCCAGGCCUGUCACCUGAAAUCUCUGCAGAAUGAUUUGAGGUAUCCUUGAACAGAUGCAAAUAUACAUUAUAAGCAUCGUAAUAAGCAUCAACAUUCAAUGCAUCUAGGGUAAUUAUCCCAACAUCACAGGUAAUCAUCCCCUGGUACCA